ACCUUUUUAUUGGACCCAACUGUAGUUGUGGGGGAUCGGGUCGUAAUCCGCCCUACCGAGUUCAGUGCCAGAUACCUCUGAACCAACUAACAGUGGGUAAGUUUUUCUUUUUCUUUUUCUUUUUGUAGCAAAUUUUUACAAUUCUUUGGUUUAAAUGACUUUGUGAGGGUCACCUAUACCGGAGUUGCCUUUUUGCUUUUUUUUAUUUUUUUU
RNAcentral lists this long non-coding RNA (213 nucleotides) under Lathyrus oleraceus (garden pea). Its description in RNAcentral is "Pisum sativum (pea) long non-coding RNA (PSAT_LNC038493)". Lineage: Eukaryota; Viridiplantae; Streptophyta; Magnoliopsida; Fabales; Fabaceae. The record is from RNAcentral.